GCAGUCGACGACUCUGGUAUUGAUUGGUGCUUGCAUCAUGAUUUACAUUUGAGUGAGUGGCGAACUGGUGAGUAACACGUGGGAAACCUGCCCAGAAGCGGGGGAUAACACCUGGAAACAGAUGCUAAUACCGCAUAACAACUUGGACCGCAUGGUCCGAGUUUGAAAGAUGGCUUCGGCUAUCACUUUUGGAUGGUCCCGCGGCGUAUUAGCUAGAUGGUGGGGUAACGGCUCACCAUGGCAAUGAUACGUAGCCGACCUGAGAGGGUAAUCGGCCACAUUGGGACUGAGACACGGCCCAAACUCCUACGGGAGGCAGCAGUAGGGAAUCUUCCACAAUGGACGAAAGUCUGAUGGAGCAACGCCGCGUGAGUGAAGAAGGGUUUCGGCUCGUAAAACUCUGUUGUUAAAGAAGAACAUAUCUGAGAGUAACUGUUCAGGUAUUGACGGUAUUUAACCAGAAAGCCACGGCUAACUACGUGCCAGCAGCCGCGGUAAUACGUAGGUGGCAAGCGUUGUCCGGAUUUAUUGGGCGUAAAGCGAGCGCAGGCGGUUUUUUAAGUCUGAUGUGAAAGCCUUCGGCUCAACCGAAGAAGUGCAUCGGAAACUGGGAAACUUGAGUGCAGAAGAGGACAGUGGAACUCCAUGUGUAGCGGUGAAAUGCGUAGAUAUAUGGAAGAA
Molecule: ribosomal RNA, 681 nt
Filed under: Lactiplantibacillus pentosus
Lineage: Bacteria; Bacillati; Bacillota; Bacilli; Lactobacillales; Lactobacillaceae
Description: bacterial SSU rRNA
Rfam family: Bacterial small subunit ribosomal RNA
Source: RNAcentral